UCGUGUUGUGAAAUGUUGGGUUAAGUCCCGCAACGAGCGCAACCCUUAUCCUUUGUUGCCAGCGGUCCGGCCGGGAACUCAAAGGAGACUGCCAGUGAUAAACUGGAGGAAGGUGGGGAUGACGUCAAGUCAUCAUGGCCCUUACGACCAGGGCUACACACGUGCUACAAUGGCGCAUACAAAGAGAAGCGACCUCGCGAGAGCAAGCGGACCUCAUAAAGUGCGUCGUAGUCCGGAUUGGAGUCUGCAACUCGACUCCAUGAAGUCGGAAUCGCUAGUAAUCGUGGAUCAGAAUGCCACGGUGAAUACGUUCCCGGGCCUUGUACACACCGCCCGUCACACCAUGGGAGUGGGUUGCAAAAGAAGUAGGUAGCUUAACCUUCGGGAGGGCGCUUACCACUUUGUGAUUCAUGACUGGGGUGAAGUCGUAACAAGGUAACCGUAGGGGAACCUGCGGUUGGAUCAC
Molecule: ribosomal RNA, 466 nt
Filed under: Escherichia coli
Lineage: Bacteria; Pseudomonadati; Pseudomonadota; Gammaproteobacteria; Enterobacterales; Enterobacteriaceae
Also listed under: 1 other name
Description: bacterial SSU rRNA
Rfam family: Bacterial small subunit ribosomal RNA
Source: RNAcentral